AACCGCUCCAACGCCUUGCUAUCGGGCUUUAAUAGCCAGAGAGAUAAGUAUGGUUUGUGGCUAAGCAUGGUGGGGAGAGACUGUGAAACAAACACAGGCAAGCUGCUGUACACCUCUUCAGAAAUCUCCCAGACUGUUAUCUUGUCUCCACCACGUGGGAUUGCUGAGUUAACAUGAGGGGGGAAACGGAGGUACAUCUUCUUAUCGGCACAUAUAAACUCCAGGUGGUGUGAUGAAGAUUGGGCUUCUCUGGCAUGCCGUUGUCACGAUGAUAUGAACACUACCCUGAAUCUAUCCGCUGCCUUUGACACCGUAAACCAUCAGAUCCUCUCCACCCGCUCAUGGCUGGGCGGUUCAGGCUCUGUACAUACUUGGAUUGCAUCCUACCUGGCAGGCUGCUCCUACCAGGUGAUGUGGAGAGAAUCUGUCUGCACCACGUACUCUCACUACUAUUGUCCCCCAGUGCUCGGUUCUUGGCCCUCUUCUCUCUAUACACCAAGUCACUCGGCUCCGUCAUAUCCUCACAUGGUCUCUCCUAUUAUUGCAAUGACACUCAACUACCUCCCCACCUCCAAAUAUGUCAGCUUGAAUGCCGGCCCACCACAUCAACAAGACAGAGCUGCAGUUUCUCUCAGGGAAGGCCUGCUCACUCCAAGACCUCUCCAUCACGGUUGAUAACUUCACGGUUUCCCCCUCCCAGAGUGCAAAGAACCUGGACAACACCCUGUCGUUCUCUGCAAACAUCAAAGAAGUUACUCGCUCCUACAUGUUCAUGCUCUACAACAUACGUAGAGUACGACCCUACCUCACACAGGAAGCGGUGCAGGUCCUAAUCCAGGCACUUGUCAUCUCCCGUCUGGACUAGGCAGCUCCCGCUUAGCCCAGUCUUCUCUGUCCUGGCACCCCAAUGGUGGAACCAGGUAGAACAGAAGAGGCUCUGCCGUUCUUCAGAAAACAUCUGAAACCCUACCUCUUCAAAGUGUAUGUUAAAUAUUCCCACAGCAGAUGUGUACAGUUCUUUAUAGAAGUGGGAGAAUCUUUGAUUGAUUUGGGUUAGUAGUAAUUCCUGUUUCAGAUUCAAUAGUUGUUAUAUCAGCUAAUAGAUCAUUACUGGGUAGCUUAUUGACCAGCAAACAACUAGGACGAUUACCAUGGAAGUAAUGGUUUAGUUCAACUCUACAAAUGGAAAAUUCUGCUCUCUGGCUUGACUUUGGAAUGAGUAAUAGCUACCUGGUCUGAAGAGUGUUUGUUGAGAAUGCUGUAAUGCAGUUAACAACAUUUCCAAUUGUGAUAUCUUCUUUAAUUGUAAUUUAUUCAACUCCAAUGCAGUUGCAUUAUUUUGGUGGCAUCCCAUAGAAUCCAGCUAUCAUCGACUGAAUUUUUAUUGAUCAUUAUGAAUGAAUUUAGUUCAAAUUUAUCACAAUGUAGCAAUAAAGCGUUGAAAUUCCAUCUUGUGGCUCUUUUAGUAGAUUCUACGAUUUGAAGUUGGCAUUAGUAAGUAUGGUGGUCAGACAAGCUCAUGUCGAAUUUCUAUUUUCUUAAUUAAAGAAAAUAGAGGUGUCGAUAGUAUGAAAUCAAUUUGUGAGAAUGUUUUAUGCCUGUUUGAGUAGA
Molecule: long non-coding RNA, 1611 nt
Filed under: Salmo salar (Atlantic salmon)
Lineage: Eukaryota; Metazoa; Chordata; Actinopteri; Salmoniformes; Salmonidae
Description: lncRNA (ENSSSAG00000115556.1, ENSSSAG00000119237.1)
Source: RNAcentral